Molecule: small nuclear RNA, 115 nt
Organism: Monodelphis domestica (gray short-tailed opossum)
Lineage: Eukaryota; Metazoa; Chordata; Mammalia; Didelphimorphia; Didelphidae
Source: Ensembl
GUUCCUUUCAGGGAGCAAAGAAAUUAAAAUUAGAACAAUACAAAGAAGAUGAGCAUGGAUGUGCUAAUCCAAGUGCAAGGAUGACCCUUAAAUUCAAGAAGCAUUCUGUUUUUCU